RNAcentral lists this long non-coding RNA (596 nucleotides) under Androctonus crassicauda. Lineage: Eukaryota; Metazoa; Arthropoda; Arachnida; Scorpiones; Buthidae. The record is from RNAcentral.
GCCAACCGGGAUCCAGACGAUGGGACGAGAGAAAGUAAGAAUGCAUAAGCGUCUUGCGAGUAUUUCGUCCUAUUAUAGGGGGCAGUGUGUGCAGGAAGGGAGAAAGUGAGACUGCAUAAGCGUCUUGCGAGUAUUUCGUCCUAUUAUAGGGGGAGGUGUCUAGUCGCCAAAUGCCUCAGUAGACCUGAAACACGAACAAGUCGCGGCCUCUCCCCGGAGGGCCCCGGGUCCCGGCCUAGCCAACCGGGAUCCAGUCGAUGGGACGAGAGAAAGUAAGAAUGCAUAAGCGUCUUGCGAGUAUUUCGUCCUAUUAUAGGGGGCAGUGUGUGCAGGAAGGAGAAAGUGAGACUGCAUAAGCGUCUUGCGAGUAUUUCGUCCUAUUAUAUGGGGAGGUGUCUAGUCGCCAAAUGCCUCUGUAAAACUGAAACACGGACCACAAGAGGACUCUCCCCGGAGGGCCCCGGGUCCCGGCCUAGCCAACCGGGAUCCAGACGGUGGGACGGAAGAAAGCGAGAAUGCAUAAGCGUCUUGCGAGUAUUUCGUCCUAUUAUAGGGGGCAGUGUGUGCAGGAAGGGAGAAAGUGAGACUGCAUAAGC